AGCUUGCUGGGGGAUUAGUGGCGAACGGGUGAGUAACACGUGAGUAACCUGCCCUUGACUCUGGGAUAAGCCUGGGAAACUGGGUCUAAUACCGGAUAUGACCUUCCAUCGCAUGGUGGUUGGUGGAAAGCUUUUGUGGUUUUGGAUGGACUCGCGGCCUAUCAGCUUGUUGGUGGGGUAAUGGCCUACCAAGGCGACGACGGGUAGCCGGCCUGAGAGGGUGACCGGCCACACUGGGACUGAGACACGGCCCAGACUCCUACGGGAGGCAGCAGUGGGGAAUAUUGCACAAUGGGCGCAAGCCUGAUGCAGCGACGCCGCGUGAGGGAUGACGGCCUUCGGGUUGUAAACCUCUUUCAGUAGGGAAGAAGCGUAAGUGACGGUACCUGCAGAAGAAGCGCCGGCUAACUACGUGCCAGCAGCCGCGGUAAUACGUAGGGCGCAAGCGUUAUCCGGAAUUAUUGGGCGUAAAGAGCUCGUAGGCGGUUUGUCGCGUCUGCCGUGAAAGUCCGGGGCUCAAC
RNAcentral lists this ribosomal RNA (521 nucleotides) under Arthrobacter sp. RNAcentral's name for it is "bacterial SSU rRNA". It matches the Rfam family "Bacterial small subunit ribosomal RNA", at positions 77 to 613 of the family's 1533-position model. The record is from RNAcentral. RNAcentral also lists the same sequence under 2 other names. Lineage: Bacteria; Bacillati; Actinomycetota; Actinomycetes; Micrococcales; Micrococcaceae.